AAAUUUUUAGUUUAUAAAAAAUAUUAAAUUGCAAAUUUAAUGAAAUAUUAAUUUAUAUAAAAUUUU
This 66-nucleotide transfer RNA is filed under the name Enicospilus sp. MD-2008. Its description in RNAcentral is "tRNA-Cys". The record is from RNAcentral. Lineage: Eukaryota; Metazoa; Arthropoda; Insecta; Hymenoptera; Ichneumonidae.